Long non-coding RNA from Priapulus caudatus, 694 nucleotides. RefSeq lists it as uncharacterized. Lineage: Eukaryota; Metazoa; Priapulida; Priapulimorpha; Priapulimorphida; Priapulidae. The transcript is spliced from 3 exons. The record is from RefSeq and is a predicted model, not a curated record.
GUGGUGGGGGUUAAGGUGGUUGUGGGACACACUAACGUAUAUCAGAAGUAGAUAAUAGGGAAUAGCAGGUAAACAAGAACGCACGUACCGUUAGCUAACUAGCACCGAGAACGGUGGCGCAGAGGGAGGGGAGUGGAGGGGGAGGCUCCAGCGAGCGUUAGCUCAUUCCUUAGCCUCAAAGACUCAUUCUGAAGUAGCUGAGAGGAAUGCACACUGAACUAACACUAUGGCCGUAACUUCACCUAAGUUAACCGUAGUACUGCCGUAACCGUACCACCGUAACACCGUAGUUAGCCCAUACUAGCCCAUAUUAUCCCAUACACUAGACCAUACGUGAGUGGAGUGAAACUAGCAGAUUAGUACGUUCAAAUUCCCUCCACGCGAUAAGGCCAGAGUAAAUUCCGAAGGUACUACCAAUGAGUGGACUGAAACUAACUGUGACCAAACCACGGUUAGUCGAAGUGCUACGAGUGACUGGACUGGAACUAAACCACAUCAGCAGUAGAUGUACUCCACUCGCUACGGCCUUCCAGUCUGAAAGUACCAUAUGAGUGGCCUGAAAACUCACUCCAUCGGGUGCUGUCCCUACGGCCAGUGAGUUGUCUUACGCCCACGCGCAUGCGCGAGAGAGCCAGCGAGGCAAACCACACAGGGAGUGUCUAUAUUCAGGCCGGACGGAGAAUACGGUAGCAUA